Molecule: transfer RNA, 76 nt
Filed under: Flavobacterium sp.
Lineage: Bacteria; Pseudomonadati; Bacteroidota; Flavobacteriia; Flavobacteriales; Flavobacteriaceae
Description: tRNA-Ile
Rfam family: tRNA
About the family: Transfer RNA (tRNA) molecules are approximately 80 nucleotides in length.
Source: RNAcentral
UCCACUAUGCGAGAAUGGUUAAUCGGAUUGUUUGAUAAGCAAUUUUGUGUAGGUUCAAUUCCUACUGGUGGAACCA